RNAcentral lists this ribosomal RNA (464 nucleotides) under uncultured bacterium. Its description in RNAcentral is "partial 16S ribosomal RNA". It matches the Rfam family "Bacterial small subunit ribosomal RNA", at positions 29 to 507 of the family's 1533-position model. The record is from RNAcentral.
ACGAACGCUGGCGGCGUGCUUAACACAUGCAAGUCGAACGGAAAGGCCCCUUUGGGGGUACUCGAGUGGCGAACGGGUGAGUAACACGUGAGUAACCUGCCCUUGACUUCGGGAUAACUUCAGGAAACUGGGGCUAAUACCGGAUAGGAAUCCUUGCUGCAUGGUGGGGGUUGGAAAGCUUCGGCGGUUUUGGAUGGACUCGCGGCUUAUCAGCUUGUUGGUGGGGUAGUGGCUUACCAAGGCUUUGACGGGUAGCCGGCCUGAGAGGGCGACCGGCCACAUUGGGACUGAGAUACGGCCCAGACUCCUACGGGAGGCAGCAGUGGGGAAUAUUGCACAAUGGGCGGAAGCCUGAUGCAGCAACGCCGCGUGCGGGAUGACGGCCUUCGGGCUGUAAACCGCUUUCAGCAGGGGCGAAGCUUGUGGUGACGGUACCUGCAGAAGAAGCACCGGCUAACUACGUG